UGCGGAAGGAUCAUUCAUAAUCAAGUGUUUUUAUGGCACUUUAAAUCCAUAUCCACCUUGUGUGCAAUGUCAUCUCACUGGGGUUACGUUUGUAAAAUUUCGUGAUCCGUUUGGGAUUUAUAUCUACUCAGAACUUUAGUCAUUUUGUCUGAAACAUAUUAUGAAUAACUUAAUUCAAAAUACAACUUUCAACAACGGAUCUCUUGGCUCUCGCAUCGAUGAAGAACGCAGCGAAAUGCGAUACGUAAUGUGAAUUGCAGAAUUCAGUGAAUCAUCGAAUCUUUGAACGCAUAUUGCGCUCUCUGGUAUUCCGGAGAGCAUGCUUGUUUGAGUAUCAGUAAACACCUCAACUCCCUUUCUUCUUGAAAUGGAGCUGGACUUGAGUGAUCCCAACGCUUUAUUCAUAAAGUGGCGGGUUACUUGAAAUGCAGGUGCAGCUGGACUUUUCUCUGAGCUAUAAGCAUAUCUAUUUAGUCUGCCUCAAAAACAGAUUAUUACCUUUGCUGCAGCUAACAUAAAGGAGAUUAGUUCUUGUGCUGACUGAUGCAGGAUUCACAAAGACCGCUUCGGCUGUCUUUGUAAACUCGAUCUCAAAUCAAGUAAGACUACCCGCUGAACUUAAGCAUAUCAAUAAGCCGGAAGGAAAAGGAUCAUUCAUAAUCAAGUGUUUUUAUGGCACUUUAAAUCCAUAUCCCCUUGGUGUGCAAUGUCAUCUCCUGGGGGUUACGUUUGGUAAAAUUUCGUGAUCGCUUUGGGGAUUUAUAUCUACUCAAAACUUUAGUCAUUUUGUCUGAAACAUAUUAUGAAUAACUUAAUUCAAAAUACAACUUUCAAGAAA
This 838-nucleotide ribosomal RNA is filed under the name Mortierella sp. T_S4. RNAcentral's name for it is "eukaryotic LSU rRNA". The stretch from base 184 to 337 matches the Rfam family "5.8S ribosomal RNA". Lineage: Eukaryota; Fungi; Mortierellomycota; Mortierellomycetes; Mortierellales; Mortierellaceae. The record is from RNAcentral.